GACGAACGCUGGCGGCGUGCCUAACACAUGCAAGUCGAACGAGAUCCAUGGGAGCUUGCUCCCGGAAGAUCUAGUGGCGAACGGGUGAGUAACACGUGAGAAACCUGCCCUGGAGUGGGGAAUAACUCGGGGAAACUCGAGCUAAUACCGCAUACCCUCGGAUGGUCGCAUGGCCGACCGAGGAAAGAUUUAUCGCUCUAGGAGGGUCUCGCGGCCUAUCAGCUAGUUGGUGGGGUAACGGCCUACCAAGGCAACGACGGGUAGCUGGUUUGAGAGAACGAUCAGCCACACUGGGACUGAGACACGGCCCAGACUCCUGCGGGAGGCAGCAGUGGGGAAUCUUGCGCAAUGGGCGAAAGCCUGACGCAGCAACGCCGCGUGCGGGAUGACGGCCUUCGUGGUUGUAACCGACUUCUAGCAGGGACGGAAAAUAGACGGUACC
Molecule: ribosomal RNA, 442 nt
Filed under: uncultured bacterium
Lineage: Bacteria
Description: bacterial SSU rRNA
Rfam family: Bacterial small subunit ribosomal RNA
Source: RNAcentral